Long non-coding RNA from Peromyscus californicus insignis, 1565 nucleotides. RefSeq lists it as uncharacterized. The record is from RefSeq and is a predicted model, not a curated record. Lineage: Eukaryota; Metazoa; Chordata; Mammalia; Rodentia; Cricetidae. The transcript has 3 exons.
GGAUUAGAAUAGAGUGGUGCAAGUAACUGGGCUGCUGGGUGGAAAGAGACACCGCUCCUGCCCUUUCCCAAUCGUGUACUUUCCCACAGCUCUGUAGAAAAUGUUUCAGUGGGGUUGGGUGCCAGGGUAGGGAGAGCAGAGACAGUGAAUGGAAGUAGGAGCCCCAGGGACUGCCUUCUCCACGCUCCUGCUGCUUUUUGGCUCUGCCCCCAGGGCCUGACUACAUCCCCUUUCCCUGCAGAGUUACUCUGACUACUCAGUCUGUUCUCAGCAGAAACCACUUCCCUUUCCCUUGGCCUUGGGCUGGACCCACCCUCAGUGGUCAGAGCACUACUCUUUUUCCAUCCUGAAGCAUCAAUCCAGGCCAGAAGAGGACCACUGCUCUGUUAUGGUCUCAAGAGGCUGGGCUAGGUUCCUGGCGGGCUUCUGACUCUGCUGCCGGGAUACACUUGAAUAUGUACGAUGACUUUGGAGCUGGAGCCUUAGACAUGUCUCAGCUCCAGCUCAGGCCUAGCUAGUUCCUUUUGUCUAGGGAAUUGUGAAUCCCUGGAUUCCCUCCUGGACUUGAGAGAUGACCAGGUGUGUGGAAGUCAGAAGACAAAUGGCUUGCAGCAGUUGGUCCUGGGAUCAGCUCAGGCCGUCAGUCUUGGUGGCAAAUGUCUUUACCCACUGAGACAUCUCUCCAUCCCCACAUUCUUUCCUAUUUAGCCCAGACUGGCCUGGAACUCAUUAUAUAGCUCCAUCUGGCUUCAUACUUUGGACAGUCCUCCCACCUCUGCCUCCUGAUUGUGGGCACAUGCCACCAUGCCUGGCCUGUCUCACGGCCUUUGGAUCUCCUUUGGAUACAGUCUUCACUUCUCCUAAGGUCUCCUGUACCUGGCUUGCCUUGGCUGCUCUGACCACAAGUCUGCAAUCUUGCUAAUAAAACCACAAACCACUGGAAUUGAGAGCCAUCACUCAGCUGAGAACAACUUGUGAUACGGAUAAGAAGGCUGAGGCCCGGACAGGACCAGUGCCGCCCCUGAUCACACUGCAAGUCUCAGACUCCACGCCUUUGGUUCCUUUGUCCUCUGUACUGUGGGAGUUGCUGUUGCAUAGCUUAGAUUUUCUGGGCUAAGUGCUGACUUGGUGUAACUGUAGUCUGUUAAGUCAAUGGGAUUCAAAGAGUGGGACUACAUGUGAUUUUUAUUACUUUGUGACACCUUUCAAAUAAAUAAUUUACAGAUCAAAGAAGACAGUUUGGCUCAGAUCACGUUCUGGAAGCAUGGGGUUGAAAUGACCUGGAGAGUUCAGAAGACUCCAGCUGCCUGCCAGCAUCUAAACUGGAAAUUUCAGAACCAAAGUGACCCUUGUGCCUUGUUCCUGGCUACUCCAACCAGCAGGCCGUAUAAACCCAUCCAAAACCACUGUUUAAAAGCUGGAUGUGCUGCCGGGCGGUGGUGGCGCACGCCUUUAAUCCCAGCACUCGGGAGGCAGAGCCAGGCGGAUCUCUGUGAGUUCGAGGCCAGCGUGGUCUCCAAAGCGAGUUCCUGGAAAGGCGCAAAGCUACACAGAGAAACCCUGUC